Molecule: ribosomal RNA, 253 nt
Filed under: uncultured bacterium
Lineage: Bacteria
Description: partial 16S ribosomal RNA
Rfam family: Bacterial small subunit ribosomal RNA
Source: RNAcentral
UACAGAGGGUGCAAGCGUUAAUCGGAAUUACUGGGCGUAAAGCGCGCGUAGGCGGUUGUGUAAGUUGGAUGUGAAAUCCCCGGGCUUAACCUGGGAAUGGCAUUCAAAACUGCACGGCUAGAGUGUGGGAGAGGAAGGUAGAAUUCCAGGUGUAGCGGUGAAAUGCGUAGAGAUCUGGAGGAAUACCGAUGGCGAAGGCGGCUCUCUGGUACGGAACUGACGCUGAGACGCGAAAGCGUGGGGAGCGAACAGG